Molecule: ribosomal RNA, 440 nt
Filed under: uncultured bacterium
Lineage: Bacteria
Description: partial 16S ribosomal RNA
Rfam family: Bacterial small subunit ribosomal RNA
Source: RNAcentral
CUACGGGUGGCACCAGUGAGGAAUAUUGCACAAUGGGGGGAACCCUGAUGCAGCAACGCCGCGUGGAGGAUGACGCAUUUCGGUGUGUAAACUCCUUUUAUAUGUCAAGAAAAUGACGGUAGCAUAUGAAUAAGCACCGGCUAACUCCGUGCCAGCAGCGCGCGGUAAUACGGAGGGUGCAAGCGUUACUCGGAAUCACUGGGCGUAAAGGACGCGUAGGCGGGUUAUCAAGUCAGGUGUGAAAUCCUACAGCUUAACUGUAGAACUGCACUUGAAACUGGUAACCUAGAGUAUGGGAGGGGCAGAUGGAAUUAGUGGUGUAGGGGUAAAAUCCGUAGAUAUCACUAGGAAUACCUAAAGCGAAGGCGAUCUGCUGGAACAUAACUGACGCUAAGGCGUGAAAGCGUGGGGAGCAAACAGGAUUAGAUACCCGAGUAGUC